This 253-nucleotide ribosomal RNA is filed under the name uncultured bacterium. RNAcentral's name for it is "partial 16S ribosomal RNA". It matches the Rfam family "Bacterial small subunit ribosomal RNA", at positions 524 to 776 of the family's 1533-position model. The record is from RNAcentral.
AACGGAGGGGGCGAGCGUUGCCCGGAUUUACUGGGCUUAAAGGGUCCGUAGGCGGUUGCCUAAGUCCCCCGUGAAAGCUGCCCGCUCAACGGGCAGAGGUCGGGGGAGACUGGGCAACUUGAGGGCAGAAGAGGCCGGUGGAACGACGGGUGUAGCGGUGAAAUGCGUCGAUAUCCGUCGGAACACCAGUGGCGAAGGCGACCGGCUGGGAUGCCCCUGACGCUGAGGGACGAAGGCCGGGGGAGCGAACCGG